UGUUUGAGUUUUGACAGCGUUGUCUCUGGUUGUUCUGUGACUGCAGCUGAGAAACACAAACAUCCUUUUGAGUGAGGAACCAAAAACAACUAUCCUUAACCCUAACCCUAUCCUUAAACUUGACAAGAUGUGUCUUGACAAGAUGUGUUCUGCCAAUAUCUACUUUGUAGGCACUGUAUUUUAUAUUAGUGGUUCUUCUCACAGCUUUUGUCUCCUACUGACAAAGUAAUCCUACGUUGAAGCAGUGCUGUACUACCAUUUGACUGACAUUUUAAAGUAAUUCUGUAACUGAAAAUGGUAAUACUACUUUAAAACUCUAUUUCACACGUUUUUUUUCCAAUCCUGAAACAAGUCUGAAUCACUGGUGAACUGAUCAACACUGUCAGUUUAUGGAUAUCAUAGGAAUACAGUACAGAGGAGAAUAGCAAAGGUCGAAUCUGUGGAGUUUAUGAGUGAAGCCAACCUGAAGUCUGUUGUGUCCUUCAAGUAAAAACAUGAAGAUAUAAAAACUCAUUGUUUUGCACAUCUGAAAACACAUUAUUACAUUUUCCCUCACUCAGACACUCAUUGGCACAUCUGAGAACACUAUUUCCUGCUUUACAAGUAUGUUCAUUUGUGCUCUUCCUGUUUUAAACACAUUUUAAACCACUAAGGAUUUAUUAUUAUCUUGGCUUUUCUUGACACUUUUCUCUGCAAAUUAUCUCCAGAAAUUAAAUCACAAAGAUCUCAAAUGCGCUGAACAUAUUAUGUUGUAUGUUCAAAUAUUAUAUUGUAAAUACAAUAAUUGCAUAUAUUGCACAAUGUAUUAUAAAAUGUGUAUAUUUUAAAUAAAUUGGACAAUAUAUGCAUGCACUUACAUAAUGAACAUUAUAUAUAUAUAUUCCCCUGUUUCCCCCCACUUCACUGGUUACACAUAUGAACCCCCACCUGGGAGACGAGCAGGACUUCACAGCCCACUGACACAGUUACACAGCCCACUGACACAGUUACACAGCCCACUGACACAGUUACACCUUUUCAUAUCCUUGAUGGACAUCAUUGAUAGUGAUCCGGAUAGGUGAGCCAAUGUUUGUCUAAACGUUGGCUCAUGACAAUGGUUGUGUUCACUGUGGUGUGGUCACUUUAAAUAUGUAGAUGGUUAGAGUGUGCAGUCAUUUAUGUCCUGAUUUUGGAUCUGUCAGGUUAAAUGAACAUUUAAUCUAGAUUGUUAUUUCUGGUUGGAUUGUGAUCCAGAGCCCUACUCCAGGCCUACUCUAACCCUAAACUUCACAUUAAUACUGGUGCUGAUGACUUCUUCUGGCUUGUGAGGUCAAUGGGAAAUGUACUUUUCUGUAGGAUUCACAAUAAAACAACUUCUGUUUCAUGCAGGAAAAUAACAUUUUGUGGACUCGUUUGUUGAGGCAGUGGAAAGCCUUGGUUUGUCUCAGAUUGUUUCUAAUGUAAACUUUUGGAGGCUUUUCCUGUUGUUGGUGUUACUAUUUUGAUCUGAAGAAAUCUCAGGAGACUAGUUAAAAGGCAGAACUUUUACAAAAUAAUGUCAAAUUACUUCUAACAUUCAAGCAUGUUCAUUCACGUUCAGAGCUGAAAGGAUUUUAUCUCUAAAUUAACCUAAUUUGAGUCCCUUUGGCUAGAAGACCAACAUCUAGCAUUGGCUGUCCUCUUUGGACAGAUUUAUAGACAGUGUCCUGGUUUAGAACUGGCUGCAUCUGUGACUGGUACUUAAUCAGAAUAUAGAGGGAUUUUCAUAGAUAAAGUAGUAGCAUUAGCACUCAAAAGCCCCUCACAGUCCAUGAAAUGUUCACCUUUACUUACCACUUGAAUGUUGGCUUCAAGUUGGGAUAAAAGAAGGGCAUGUUGUUUGUAGUGAAUCUAAGGGAUGUUUCCAGUCCUGAAGCUUUGCUUUCCCGCUAGUUAUUUCUGCAGUCAGCGAUGGUAUGUGAAGCUGUACAUGAUGGUGAGCGAGCCUGAAGAGUCUCAGGUCAGACAGAUCCCACAUAUACUGGAUGAAACAUAGAUGAAACGUGGAUGAAACAUGGCUGUGUAGCGAGGUUCAUGGUGCAUGGUUGUUUUGUGCUGCUGUAAUAAGGAGCUCAUGCAGUUGAACUGUAUGCUGCUCCUUACAUGAGCAAGGGAAGGUGACGUGGAAAGAGAAGUUAUUUAGGAAUCUUUCAGAUAUAUAUAUUUUGAUAUUUAAAGAUAUUAUAUGAAUUACACAAAGAUAUUGCCAAUAUAGAGACUGUGCUAUGAGGUGUAAGUACAAUAUAUAAUCAGAAAUUACUUCUAAUAUUGAAUACACAUGUUUUUGUGGCUUUACAUAAAAGUAUGGCCAUAGAGUGUUAUACUCAUAAUAUGAUAAAAGUGCAAAUAUAUUCUGCCCACACCAAGAUACAAUCAAAGCACAUACUUGUUUCACUGUUUCUGAUGGUUAAAUGACACUGCACAGUGAAGUGGUCUGGGUUCAAACAUUUCCAUUGUGAUCUGGUCAGAAUCACCUGGCUUGAAUAGUUAAUGUUCAGAUGCCUGUGUUGUCUGUUCUCUGAGGUAAAAAAAAAAGAAAACAAAUGUUUAUUACAUUAUAUUUUUGCAUUUAAGAUUAAGCUCGGCAAAAAUGAAAUGAUGCUGUAGAAUUAAGCCAAGAAACAUUAAAAGAAUGUACUAUGUGCAGUUGGAUUGGUUUAGAAAUUGUAUUUAGAUAUAUAUUUUAGUAAUGUCAUAAAUAUAUGAUGAACGAUGUGAAAUACCUACAGUAGCUGUGUAUGCUGACACAUUUCUCAUGUUAAUGACAUAGAUGACCCCUGUCAGGACAAACACUUAGUAGAAAAACAGACUAUACCUGUGGUGCUCUUUUAAACUGUAUAGUAGGAUUUACAAAAUAUGUAAUGCUGUGUGACAGUUUAGCAAUAGUAUCUGUUGUGGGUUUUCCAAAUCCAAAGUUCAGUAACUGGUUGUAUCUGACAUCGUAGUGUUUCGUGUUGAGGGACCUGUUGUGUUGUUGGUUUCUCUUUCAGUCUGAUACGAUAUGACUGGUGCUGUGUGUCAUCCUAUGUCUGAGGUCAGAGGUGAGAGGUGAGAGGUAAGAGGUAUACCCUGCCUCUACAAUAAACAGGCAAGGGCAUCGCUUGGUCUUUAGAAUUUUCAUACUGUAAAAAAGAAUACCUCUGGUGCUAAAUACAGUUUUGGAAGGUCAACAUUUAAGUAACUAGUUUUUCUCUAACCUCCUAAGCAGUAGUAACAACACACUACUCUCAAACCGCCGACUAAUGCCCUCAAUGGAAGUCUAUAUUUAGAGCGUUUCAUUUAAUUAAACAAAUGUCCCCUCCCCAAAUAUAUGACCACCAGAAGGACAACAACACGCCACACACAUCCCGCCCAGGGAGGAAUCCUACGAUAUAGCAUGAUACUGUUCACAUACCCUAUAUGGCCAAGCUGGUGAUCAGUUGCAUAUACAUUUAAUUUGGAGGACAACAGCACAUGCACAUGAAAACAGUAACACCAUGUAAAUAAUAUUUUCAAGAAGCAUACCUUAUUAUCUAUAUAUUUUGUAUUUGAUAAUUUAAUGCACACAAAGUUUCUUGGAGAAUGAGUGGAAACUGAGUUGUAUAUGGUCCCCUUCAGUCGCUUAUAGGAAUGGACCAGAACAUCCCUACUGUGGGACACAUUUUGAAAUUGUUAAAAAUGAAAUAUUAUGAAGAGAAUGAUAUGUUGAACAUUAACAUAAUGUUAAACUAUAAACCAAAGUGGAUUGUUGUAUCUACACUCGGGUAGAAAGAGUGUAUUAGUUUUUUGUUUCUUUUUAAGAAAGAAGGGGCAGGAUCAUACAGGAAGGUGAUUAAUACUCAGUUGGGGGAUGUUUUUGAAAGUUCUGUUGAAAACAGAUACUUGGUUAAAAAAUAAAAAUCUGAAAAUAAAAAGAAAAUACAUGUUGUAGACACGCUAUAGUGUUACAGUCUAAAAUCUAAUUGGUGUGUUGCAUUGAGAUGAUGCAGGACCUGUCUCAGUUUGGGACCUUUUCUGAACUCCAUCAGUUGACUCAAUGUAUUUGCAUUUACUGAUCUAAUGAGGUGGAUUCAUUGCAAACAGUCAUUAAAAGACAAGACUGUGAAAGAUCUGGUGUGCUCUGUCCAUUGUGCUGGUUACAAACGUUAUCACGCUCCACCCAAGAGCCCCAACCCUGCAUCCUGGAUCUUAGAACAAAGUUGUUUUGAAAGAAUAAUGCUCACUUGUAAUCUGUACAGCAGCAAAGUGCAAAACCUGUGUAAUAUUUAGUCCUCUAUUGAACAGACUGUGCAAGCAGUCAUGUUUUACAGCACAUGUGUGUAACAGAUAUGUUACAUGCACAUGUGUAUGUAACAGCACAUGUGUAGGUAACAGAUAUUGGAUGCAGUUUGGAAACUGAUGUGAGGGAGACCCACAGUAUUUAUUUUCAAGUAUGUGUGUUUCCAAUUUAGCCACAUCGUUUAUGAUCUCUCUCCAGCUUUGAAUGGCUCACCCGUUUCAUCAUUACAAUUCCAUGAGAUGAUUCUAGAGGCUGCACUCCCAUGCUCCUCCAUGAGACCCACACUGCCCGUACUGGAUAACUUGGAUACAUUCUGACAUUCUGGUGCUAUUUCCCCUUCAUUUGGAAUGCUGAGAGGAUCUCUAACCCUCCUCAUGCUUUUUACCAACUAUCCCAGUUUUAUUGUAGAAGGCUCAACAGUUGAGUAAUUUGUUGUGUAGAUUUGUAAUAGAGAGAAGUUUACAGACUUAAAACUUUAGAAAUUGAAAGAGAUGUUGAGCCUGUUGUGAGGAUAGAUCAGCAGAAAAUGUCAGAGCAAACCUGACAAAAUCAUGAAGCUUCAUUGCAGUUAGAUUUUGUGAUGCCUGGUGUAUCUAAUGGAUCAGGGUGUUAAGAUAGUCAGAGUUAGUACAUACCCAUCCAGUAGGUCAGACAGGCAGUUUCGAUGUGGCAUAGAUUGGAAACACUUUUCAAUAUGUCUUUGUGUUUUUCUUGGCAUCAAGAUAAGAUUUUUCAAAUAAUGCUGGACAAAAAGCUACUGUAACAUUUCUCAGUCAUAUACACAUUUACGACACAUCAAAGUAUUUGGUGGUAAAGAUUCACUCUGUUUCUACAGGUUGAUUUCUGCUUGACCAGUCUGUUUACAAGCACCCAGAACUGCAGUCAAGUUAACCCCUUUAGUGGCCUCUUUGUAAGAAAAGAUUUCAGCUCAUUUUCAUCCAUCAACCUUCACACAACAACAUCAUGCCUCAUUAAAUGCAAUAAGAGGUAGAAGGGACUAUUCAGAUAUUCAGUCCCUAGUUUGGGUCUUCCAUAGCAACUUUUUAAGUCUUGUUCAUUUUCAAUGAAUGUUUCUGAAAAGUAUAAGUUUGUUCAAAUGUGUGUUCACUCUGUAGACUAGGCCUACCUCAGAUGUGUGUUCACUUGUAGACUAGGCCUACCUCAGAUUUGUGUUCACUUGUAGACUAGGCCUACCUCAGAUGUGUGUUCACUCUGUAGACUAGGCCUACCUCAGAUGUGUGUUCACUUGUAGACUAGGCCUACCUCAGAUGUGUGUUCACUCUGUAGACUAGGCCUACCUCAGAUGUGUGUUCACUCUGUAGACUAGGCCUACCUCAGAACCUCACACCUAUUUGAUGUAUUGCUGGCACUCACUUUUUACUCAAGCAGAAAUCCUGUUUUCCAAGAAACUGAUCAUGACCAUUUGUAUCUGAUGUUUGGUAUGAUUUUUUAUAUUUAGGACGUUCAUAUUUGAUAUGUCUUUGUCAGUAAUCUUUGUUUUCUAAGAUACAUAUUUGUGUGAUUUUUGCAUUUGCACCUCUCAUUUCCAAAAUAUUUUUGUUAUACCAUUCUUUUGUAUUCAUUUUCUAAGUGAAUUUGUAACUAGAAACACAUUGUUUUGCAUAACGUUAUAAAGAGGCAGCCGAAGGGUUAAUCAUUCACCAUCUUCAGGUGUUGUUGUGAUAUGAAAAUAUUUACCAGAUACAUUUUUCGUGAAGAAAACAGAAUCAUAUGGUGCUGUACCAAAGCCUUAUGUGUCAUACAUCGGUUUUAUGAUUUUCUUUUCACAGGGCAAACAAAUGUUCUUCUCCCAUGAAUUUGUGAUGCUUUGAAGCAGGAAUAAUAUACAAACCACAACAAACCAGAGCAUUUCAUACUGGUUUGUUGUCUGACCUGGUGUUAAUCUUGUCCUAUUUCUAUUUAACAAAUGUAUAAAUUCAGAACCAUAUGUAAUAACUUAUUCAGACUGGUUGGCAUGGUAACUUUGUUCUUUAAACUGAAACACCUCAGCAUGAACAGUGUGGACAUUCCUCUUAUGAACGUACCGGAGGUGCUGUUGGUGUUGGGGUACCCAGGCGAGCGCGGGAGGGCCUGAGGUGAUCACAGGGCUGAGAUACCAAGGUGUCAAAUGCAGUGUUUAUUGGAUAAGAGUACCACCUAACCAGUCUUUCCAACCCACAAGCAUUAUCACGUCAUACCUGCUGACUGGAACCUGAGUUAUCUGAUGCUAGGCUCAUGCAACCUUUAUUCUGCUUCAAAUAUGUUUUGUAUUUUGAAAUAAUAAAACUUAACAAAAGCA
This is a long non-coding RNA of Osmerus eperlanus (European smelt), 6575 nucleotides long. RefSeq lists it as uncharacterized. The transcript has 2 exons. The record is from RefSeq and is a predicted model, not a curated record. Lineage: Eukaryota; Metazoa; Chordata; Actinopteri; Osmeriformes; Osmeridae.